GAGUUUGAUCCUGGCUCAGAUUGAACGCUGGCGGCAGGCCUAACACAUGCAAGUCGAGCGGAUGACGGGAGCUUGCUCCUUGAUUCAGCGGCGGACGGGUGAGUAAUGCCUAGGAAUCUGCCUGGUAGUGGGGGACAACGUUUCGAAAGGAACGCUAAUACCGCAUACGUCCUACGGGAGAAAGCAGGGGACCUUCGGGCCUUGCGCUAUCAGAUGAGCCUAGGUCGGAUUAGCUAGUUGGUGGGGUAAUGGCUCACCAAGGCGACGAUCCGUAACUGGUCUGAGAGGAUGAUCAGUCACACUGGAACUGAGACACGGUCCAGACUCCUACGGGAGGCAGCAGUGGGGAAUAUUGGACAAUGGGCGAAAGCCUGAUCCAGCCAUGCCGCGUGUGUGAAGAAGGUCUUCGGAUUGUAAAAGCACUUUAAGUUGGGAGGAAGGGCAGUAAGUUAAUACCUUGCUGUUUUGACGUUACCGACAGAAUAAGCACCGGCUAACUCUGUGCCAGCAGCCG
This 514-nucleotide ribosomal RNA is filed under the name bacterium enrichment culture clone ALO1_GLFRUDD03GFWY2. RNAcentral describes it as "bacterial SSU rRNA". It matches the Rfam family "Bacterial small subunit ribosomal RNA", at positions 9 to 517 of the family's 1533-position model. The record is from RNAcentral.